GCCGUCGUGGUGUAGUGGCCACCCCGCUCGGCGGGUAUUCGAGAGGUCCGUGGUUCGAGUCCUGGCGAGGGCA
This 73-nucleotide transfer RNA is filed under the name Stegodyphus mimosarum. It matches the Rfam family "tRNA". Rfam says of the family: Transfer RNA (tRNA) molecules are approximately 80 nucleotides in length. The record is from Rfam by way of RNAcentral. Lineage: Eukaryota; Metazoa; Arthropoda; Arachnida; Araneae; Eresidae.